Molecule: unclassified non-coding RNA, 4233 nt
Organism: Vigna unguiculata (cowpea)
Lineage: Eukaryota; Viridiplantae; Streptophyta; Magnoliopsida; Fabales; Fabaceae
Source: RefSeq, a predicted model, not a curated record
UUGUUUCUGAGAUGUUGUUAUAUUGUUUGUUAUUUGUAUUGCGACACUGAAAACACUUCCGUUUUGGUCUGUUUGUUGCCGCAGCGAGGGAGUGCCCUGCCCUAGUUCUCGAGCUUGCCUUCUAAGCGACUGAGAAAUUCAUUUGUUUCUCUCUGCUGUUCCGAUUUUGAAACCCGGUCGGAAGGAGGAAGCAAUGGAUGAGGGAAAGCAUAAAUCGAGGAAAGAAAUUCACGAGGUGAAAGAUGGGGAUUCUAAGAGGAGUCACCGCGACCGUGACCGUGAUAGAACUGGAGAAAGGGGUAAGGAUAAAAACGAUGGGAGGCACAGGGAUAGGGAGAAGAGGGAUCGUGAGUCCCGAAGACAUGAACGAGAGAGGAGUACUGAUUCUGAAGACAAGUAUGAUAGAGAGAGGGAGAAGCGAAAAGAUAAAGACAAGGAUGUGGAUAGGGAAAGAGGUCGAGAGAAGAAAAGGGAAAGGGACAGGGACAGGGAUGACAGGGAGAGGACAGACAGAGUAAGGGAAAAGGAGAAAGAGAGGGAAAGAAAAGAGGAUAAGGAGAGGAUCCGAGAGAGGGAAAGGGAAAGGAGGGAUCAUGAGAGAGAGAAGGAAAAGGAAAGAGAAAGGGUGAGGAGAGCACGAGAGAGGGAGAAGCGUAGAGAAGUUGAUAGUGAUUACAGUGAUGGUGAAUCUAGGGAGAGGGAUAGAAAGCGGCACAAGAAAGAAGAUGGUGAUUACAAGAAGAGGGAGAGGGAAAGGAGCGUCAGCAAGCCAAGCAGGCAAUCAGAGGAACGUGAAGGAAGCCCAAGAAAAAAGAUUGUCGGAGAUGACUCAGAUACCAAAGAUGGAGAGAAAAAACCUACCCGUGAAGAGGAGAUGGAAAAUGAACAAAAGAGGUUGGAUGAAGAAAUGGAAAAGCGGAGGAGGAGAGUUCAAGAGUGGCAAGAGCUAAGAAGGAAGAAAGAAGAAGCAGAAAGAGAAAAGCAUGGCGAAGUAAGUACUAAUGAACCCGAGUCUGGAAAGACCUGGACGCUAGAAGGGGAAUCUGAUGAUGAAGAAGGACCGGGUACUGAGAAGCAUGAUACAGGUAUGGAUGUAGAUGAAGAUGACAAACCUGCUGAUAUGGAACCUAAAGAUGUGAUGGUGGUAGACACUGAUAAUGGGACAAUUACAUCUGAUUUACAGGAGGGAACUGCUGGUACACCUGAUGAUGAGGAAAUAGAUCCAUUGGAUGCUUUCAUGAAUUCUAUGGUUCUACCCGAAGUUGAAAAGCUGAACAAUGCUGUGACAUCAGUAAUUUCUGAUAAAGCCAUCGACAUAAAAGCCAAAGAUAAAGGGAAUGAGCAAAGUCGAGGUGCACAGUCAAGGAAAGGUUCAAAUAAGUCUAUUGGCAGAAUAAUUCCUGGUGAAGAGUCUGACUCAGAUUAUGCUGAUGAUGAAGUUGAGAGGGAUCCAUUGGAUGAAGAUGAUGACGAGUUCAUGAAAAGAGUGAAGAAAACAAAAGCCGAGAAGCUUUCUUUAGUUGACCACUCAAAGAUUGACUAUGAACCAUUCAAGAAAACUUUUUAUAUUGAGGUGAAGGAGAUCUCGAAGAUUGCUCCAGAAGAAGCUGCAGCAUACCGGAAACAGUUGGAAUUGAAGAUACACGGGAAGGAUGUGCCAAAGCCUAUAAAAUCAUGGCACCAGACUGGACUUGCUAGCAAAAUUUUGGAGACAAUAAAGAAGAUGAACUUUGACAAGCCUAUGCCUAUUCAAGCUCAGGCACUCCCUGUAAUCAUGAGCGGUCGAGAUUGCAUAGGGAUUGCUAAAACUGGGUCAGGCAAAACACUUGCAUUUGUUCUGCCUAUGCUGAGGCAUAUCAAGGAUCAGCCACCGGUUGUAGCCGGAGAUGGACCUAUUGGGCUUAUUAUGGCCCCUACGAGGGAACUUGUUCAACAGAUUCACAGUGAUAUAAAAAAAUUUGCUAAGGUGCUUGGUCUCAGGUGUGUGCCUGUGUAUGGAGGCUCUGGUGUUGCUCAACAAAUUAGUGAGUUGAAACGAGGUGCUGAGAUAGUUGUUUGUACUCCAGGUAGGAUGAUUGACAUAUUAUGCACCAGUAGCGGAAAAAUAACUAACUUGCGGAGAGUCACUUAUCUGGUCAUGGAUGAGGCUGAUCGAAUGUUUGACAUGGGCUUUGAACCUCAAAUUACACGAAUUGUUCAGAAUAUUCGUCCAGAUCGUCAAACAGUUCUUUUCUCUGCUACAUUCCCUCGUCAAGUUGAAAUUCUGGCUCGUAAGGUUUUGAAUAAACCUGUUGAAAUACAAGUUGGCGGGAGGAGUGUAGUGAACAAAGACAUAUUACAGCUAGUUGAGGUGAGACCAGAUAAUGAAAGGUUCCUUCGACUCUUAGAAAUAUUAGGGGAAUGGUACGAGAAAGGGAAGAUCCUGAUAUUUGUUCACUCCCAGGAGAAAUGUGAUAGUUUGUUCAAGGAUCUGCUCAGGCAUGGUUAUCCAUGCCUUUCUCUUCAUGGGGCUAAGGACCAGACAGAUCGAGAAUCCACAAUAUCUGACUUUAAAAGCAAUGUCUGCAAUUUGUUGGUUGCAACAAGUAUUGCUGCCAGGGGAUUAGAUGUUAAGGAGCUAGAAUUGGUGAUCAAUUUUGAUGUUCCUAACCACUAUGAAGAUUAUGUACACCGUGUUGGACGCACUGGACGAGCUGGCCGCAAGGGUUGUGCCAUUACAUUUAUAUCUGAGGAAGAGGCAAGAUAUGCACCUGAUCUGCUGAAAGCCUUGGAAUUAUCUGAGCAGACUGUUCCCAAUGAUCUGAAAACUCUUGCUGAUAGCUUUAUGGCAAAGGUGAACCAAGGACUGGAACAAGCCCAUGGGACUGGUUAUGGAGGAAGUGGUUUUAAAUUUAAUGAAGAGGAAGAUGAGGUAAGGAGAGCAGCAAAGAAAGCACAAGCCAAGGAGUAUGGGUUUGAAGAAGACAAGUCAGAUUCUGAAGAUGAAGAUGAAGGUAUUCGGAAGGCAGGAGGUGAUAUCUCACAGCAUCCUGCUCUUGCACAGAUUCUUGCUGCCACUAAAGUUAAUGCUCCUGCAUUGCCUACUCCCAUCUCUGCUGCUCAACUGAUUUCGAAUGGUGGACUGCCUGUUUCUUUUCCGUCUGUUCUUGGUCUCCAAACCCCAACAGUUUUGCCUGGGACUGGGCUACCCCUUUCUGCAAAUGAUGGGGCAGCUCGAGCAGCACUAGCUGCGAUGAACCUGCAUCGCAACAUAGAAAAAAUACAAUCAGAAGCAUUACCAGAGCAUUAUGAGGCCGAGUUAGAAAUAAAUGAUUUCCCCCAGAAUGCUCGGUGGAAAGUUACUCAUAAGGAAACAUUAGGCCCCAUAUCUGAUUGGACAGGAGCUGCCAUUACCACCAGGGGACAGUUCUUCCCACCUGGAAAGAUCCCAGGACCUGGAGAACGCAAACUCUACUUGUUCAUUGAAGGUCCUACUGAGCAGUCUGUUAAGACAGCUAAAGCACAGUUGAAACGUGUUUUGGAAGACAUCACAAAUCAGGCUUUGCAACUUCCUGGUGGAAAUCAACCGGGCAAAUACUCUGUUGUGUAAAAGGUCAACGUGAAGGCGUAGUGGGACUCUGUUAAACACUCUUGUGUCGCGCCCCCAAUCUGGGAUGAGUUGCACCUAUUGUCUGCCUUUCUUGUCCAUUCGUUGUCAUACAGGUGGUCUUUGAACCUAUGCUUGCAUGCUCGCUAUUGUUCCAUCUAUCGCGCUUGCAUCGUGACUCUCUAAAGAGCUGAUCGUGGUGCGACUUUUAUUUUAUCUUGGUUCUGUUUGAUUUGAGGCAACCAUUCUCUAAACUCAGAAUUUUUUUUGUCCUGUUAUCUCAUGUACCAGUUGUAGAAUUGAUGAUGCUUAUUUGUCUGAUCAUACGCAUGUAUCUUUCAGGUUUUGAUUCGGUGUCCUUUUGUAAGGGAAACAGGAUUAGAUGGAGAGUCAGUUAUUAAUUCAUUUGCCUUACCAUCAGCACAUGUACCAUAAUAGAAUAUAUAUCUUUCUAGCUAGUUCACUAUAUAUGCUACAUAACACCCAUAAAAUCUUUGGAAUUGCAUUGCUUGUGAAACUCAUCAAUUCUAUUUUCUAUUGUAAUUCUUGGGAAUAUUGACGGAAAGCUCCCAACUAUUGAAUUACUGUACAUUUAUCUAUACUCUGGAGCAAUAUUUAUAUGUACUCACGGUACGGUUCUGAUUUAA